CCUUCAGCCUAAACUAGGGAAAAAUGUACUGUGUAAAUAUUCAGUGUUUUUCUUAGUUUUUAUCCCUAACAAAAUUUUUUACAGGACUUAGUUUAGUGAAUCUCCAGAGACUGGGUGUGAACGUGACUUUUCACCCCUGGGUCACGGGUCACUUCCUGCUUCUUCUUGUAAGUAAAAGCUCUUACUAUUCCAUGGGUCUGGCUGUACCCAGAAGUGGGGGUAGGGGUGAGGGAUGGGAGGGUGGAGUGGGGGAUGGGGGAAAACUCAAUGCCUAUUCAUUUCUCACAUUAUUUUAUUGUCAGGAACAUUUCUCCUCCCAUACUAAAGAGCUAAAUGUCAAACUUCUAUUCCAAAGUACAUGAAUAAAUUAAUACAUUCCUAGUGUAUGAAUUUAUUCAUGCAUUCAAUAAACAUCAUCGAAGCACUGUCAAUGUACUAGGCAUUGUGUUAAGCACUGGGAAAACAAAGAUAACUAAAAUAUAUUCCCUGUCUUCUACAUCUUCAAACAAACAGGAGAGACAGAUUCUAGAACAGUAAUUACAGCAAUUACAGUAAGUACUGUGAAAAAAAAAGAGCAAAAAACAUGUAACUCUGCCCAGGAAGGGCAACGAAGACUUCCAGGAGGUGGUGGUAUUGGAAUUGAUUUUUGUGAGCUAAGUAGGAACAACCAGAAGGCCAGGAAGAGGAAUGGCAUUUCAGACAGAGGGAGUGGCCAUGGAAAAACCUUGUUUUCACUUUGGGUAACGAGCAGUCUUUAAUGUUUUACUCUGACUAGGGUUCUGGGAACUUAGGACAAAAAAAAAAAAAGGUGGGAUAGGAUAGAAUUGGCCCAUGAAGUUUAGAGUUGAAACCAAGGAUCCCCAAAAGGCAACAUCCAGAGAUAAAAAUACACUUAAUCCCUAGUGGAAAAUAACACCUACACAUCAUCCUAAGGGCACCAAGUAAAAAGAAAAAAAAAAAUGCAGCAACUGGAGGCAGCACAAGUUUGGAGCUGUGAGGAGGGAAGUCUGGAGCUGUUAGGAAGAAGCCCUGGCACAGAGCUAUAAGGGACUUUUAGAGGUACCGUAAGGCCCAUCUGGGGUGGGGCACUGCAGUGUUAAAGACGCAGAACCUGUUCAGGCAAGAGUGGAAGCAAGAGGACGCAUACCACAGUCUGGAAUUGACAGUCAUCCUGACAGAUGCCCUGACAAUUGAAAAAGAUGGUAGAAAAGGGGGAGUCAGGGGCUACAUCCUCAGGAGCCUUGAACAUCAUCUUCCCAGCAGGGAUUUCCCAAGGGUAACAUGGGUACCACUGGUAAGAACCAAUGUGUCAUUACAUGGUACACAAACAAUGUUUUAAAGACUUGUAGUAGAUAUGUACUGAUUUUCUAGUUUUAUACAAACUAGAAAAAAUGUGUAACUAACACGAAAUCUGCAAUUACACAGAUAGGAAGAUUGCUUAAGAAGAAGCUAAUAUAAAAGCACCAUGGUGAGUUGAUCUUUUUUAAAAAAAAUAAGAAUAUACCAAAAGAGGUGCUACACAAAUAUAGCAAAAAUUGAGAAGGUAGUCUAUAAAUGACCGAAAUUUGAAAAUAGUGGCAGUAGGCAGUGGAGAAUCUCUGAAAAGUGUAAGCAUUGGACUCUAUUUUGUAAUGUUGCUCUUUUGGGGAAGGGGAGACUAAAGAUACCGAUUAAGGGAGGUUGUAUUUAUUGUCCAGAACCACAACGGACUCUGCAUAGUUUUCAGGUUCAUAUUUCAAGAUAAACUCUAAUUUCAAUCCUGAAGUACUUGGACAAGUCUUUAAGAACCUCUUUUUACUAAUUUGAAAUGUCCAUAGCUUUAUUUUCAUCUUAAGUAACUUAGUGUGUAUAUUUACAUGAAUAAUUUUAUUAGAAACGUGCAGUGCUCAAAAUGAUUUUUAUGGUGUAGGAUAGUAGGGGAAAAAGCUAUUGAAUGUUGGAUAGAUCUGUGUCUUUGUAACAAUUUGGUCAAUCUGAUUUACAUAGACCCUAGUGUCUCAUUUUGUGCUUAGGUCUGGUACAUUUUCUAUUAACCAUGUUUUUUUAUUUUCUGUAGUUCAUGAUGCUUUGACAUCUUGGGGCAUCUUGCAGACCAGGGAUGGACUGCCCCUCCCAGGUUUGGCUAAUUCCUGGAGAUACUAAACAACUCGGCUUAGAACACAUCUUUUAUAUGCAAGACAACAAAUCCAGGCUCCAUACCCUCAUCUCAUCCUUUUAUCAGGCUCCUCCAGCACAGAACAUUAUCCUCCUGCUCUAAGUCACCCAGAGCCAGGAGAAUUUUACCCUCUUGUCAGUCUUGGCCAUGUGAUUUCAUCUGGCAAAUGACAUGGGAGUGGAAGUGACAUGCCCAGAAGAUUUGAGAGCUGUGGUGAGAUCCCAUCAUUUCCCUUCUGACACAAGGCACACCACAUCCCCAGAUGGAGGUAUUCUGUCAAUCUGGAUCCCAAAGUGAAAAGGAUGAAGGACAAAGUCACAACUGAUGGAGAGCCAUCAUGGAAGAUGAGGAAAAUAUUAGCUUUACUCUUACAAAGCACUGAGAUUUGAGGGUCACUUGUUCUUGCAGCAUAGCCCAGCAAAGAAUGACCGAUACACUUUUCUUCACAAAACCUCUGUCUAAUUGAACUCAAACUCUGAACCAUACGCUGAAUGAAAGAAUGGUCCGUUCCUAUUUCGAUAGGUCAACCCUCAUUUUUAUAAGUGCACAGCUUCAGGAAGGCACACAUGCAGUCAUGAAGGGAGAAAGUGGAGUUCUCAACUAUUGAAGCCAGUGAGCUAACUUCUGCAUUCACCGACAUGAAACAUGCUGAAGUCUGUUUGCCUUGCAGUUCUCUGCUGGAUGUGCCAAGAGGGCUCUAUUUUAGAGAAGGAAAACUAACAAUAGAUUCCCGCCAACUAAAAGGGGAUUUCUUUUCCUGGGAAGG
Molecule: long non-coding RNA, 2921 nt
Filed under: Homo sapiens (human)
Lineage: Eukaryota; Metazoa; Chordata; Mammalia; Primates; Hominidae
Description: HSALNT0369779
Source: RNAcentral